CACCCUUGUCUUUUGCGUACUUCUUGUUUCCUUGGUGGGUUCGCCCACCACUAGGACAAACAUAAACCUUUUGUAAUUGCAAUCAGCGUCAGUAACAAAUUAAUAAUUACAACUUUCAACAACGGAUCUCUUGGUUCUGGCAUCGAUGAAGAACGCAGCGAAAUGCGAUAAGUAGUGUGAAUUGCAGAAUUCAGUGAAUCAUCGAAUCUUUGAACGCACAUUGCGCCCUUUGGUAUUCCAAAGGGCAUGCCUGUUCGAGCGUCAUUUGUACCCUCAAGCUUUGCUUGGUGUUGGGCGUCUUGUCUCUAGCUUUGCUGGAGACUCGCCUUAAAGUAAUUGGCAGCCGGCCUACUGGUUUCGGAGCGCAGCACAAGUCGCACUCUCUAUCAGCAAAGGUCUAGCAUCCAUUAAGCCUUUUUUCAACUUUUGACCU
Molecule: ribosomal RNA, 433 nt
Filed under: Alternaria sp. FL-2010j
Lineage: Eukaryota; Fungi; Ascomycota; Dothideomycetes; Pleosporales; Pleosporaceae
Also listed under: 3 other names
Description: eukaryotic LSU rRNA
Rfam family: 5.8S ribosomal RNA (bases 111-264)
Source: RNAcentral